UUAAGUGGCAGACGGGUGAGUAAUGCAUAGGAAUCUACCUAGUAGUAUGGGAUAGCCACUAGAAAUGGUGGGUAAUACUGUAUAAUCCCUGCGGGGGAAAGAUUUAUCGCUAUUAGAUGAGCCUAUGUUAGAUUAGCUAGUUGGUAGGGUAAAGGCCUACCAAGGCAGUGAUCUAUAGCUGGUCUGAGAGGAUGAUCAGCCACACUGGAACUGAGAUACGGUCCAGACUCCUACGGGAGGCAGCAGUGGGGAAUAUUGGACAAUGGGCGCAAGCCUGAUCCAGCUAUGCCGCGUGAGUGAGGAAGGCCUUAGGGUUGUAAAACUCU
Molecule: ribosomal RNA, 326 nt
Filed under: Anaplasma platys
Lineage: Bacteria; Pseudomonadati; Pseudomonadota; Alphaproteobacteria; Rickettsiales; Anaplasmataceae
Description: bacterial SSU rRNA
Rfam family: Bacterial small subunit ribosomal RNA
Source: RNAcentral